RNAcentral lists this ribosomal RNA (253 nucleotides) under uncultured bacterium. Its description in RNAcentral is "partial 16S ribosomal RNA". It matches the Rfam family "Bacterial small subunit ribosomal RNA", at positions 524 to 776 of the family's 1533-position model. The record is from RNAcentral.
UACGAAGGGGGCUAGCGUUGCUCGGAAUUACUGGGCGUAAAGGGAGCGUAGGCGGACAGUUUAGUCAGAGGUGAAAGCCCAGGGCUCAACCCUGGAAUUGCCUUUGAUACUGAUUGUCUUGAGUAUGGGAGAGGUGAGUGGAACUCCGAGUGUAGAGGUGAAAUUCGUAGAUAUUCGGAAGAACACCAGUGGCGAAGGCGACUCACUGGCCCAUUACUGACGCUGAGGCUCGAAAGCGUGGGGAGCAAACAGG